Molecule: long non-coding RNA, 818 nt
Organism: Microplitis mediator
Lineage: Eukaryota; Metazoa; Arthropoda; Insecta; Hymenoptera; Braconidae
Exons: 4
Source: RefSeq, a predicted model, not a curated record
AAUGUAAUAAUAACUGUAUACAAAAGAUUCAUUGUUAUGGAAGUGGGUAUACAAUAGAUUUUACUUUUAUUAUCGUAAAAUAAUUUAAUGACACUCUUACGAUAAUUUAAAAGCAAUAACAUCUGCCGACAAAAUUUUAAGAUCAGGUAUCUUAUACAUGGGAUUGUUACCAAUUGUCUAUGACGUCCAUCGGGUCUUUCUCCCUACUCUUAUUUUCGGGUCUGAGGACAGUAAUGAAUGCUAUUGCUCUGUGCAAUCAGUUUUACAAAAGUCUUGAAGCUAGCAAGAUCGAAAAAUAAUAUUCUGCAGAAACUUGCAAGAGACUAAAAAUAUAUUAUUCCUAUUUCUCAAAUUGUUGAAAUUAAAUUUAAUUUUCAAAAAUGAGUGAAUCAAGUGAAAACUAUGGUAGUGAAAUGGAAAUGAGAUUAGCAGAUACUUAUUGGAUUCUUAAGCCUGAAUUCUACAAAAAUAUAAUGCAGACUAAAUCCAGUGCAAUCUCACCAGAAGGUGGACAGUCAGCGAAUUCGGAAAUUGAUGCAACUAAAAAUAUAGGACAUCCACAGGAAAAAGUUAAAUUGAAAAAGAAAUUAUCUCGACUUUUGUAAAGAGAACAUCAUUUAUCAAUAUAAUAGAUGAUGUGCUACAAACAGAAAAUGGAAAUCGAAUCGCUGGAAUCUGGAAGCGCUGGCUUGUUUGAAUAAUUAUAUUAUAAUUUAAAUUGACUCAUAAGAUAAUUCUUAAAACUCCUGUUGUAUUUUCGUAAAUGGUAAUAAUAAAUAUGUACUAUCUAAAUAAAAUACAGUUAACUUCUAAAUUAG